AGAGUUUGAUCCUGGCUCAGGAUGAACGCUGGCGGCGUGCCUAAUACAUGCAAGUCGAGCGAACAGAUAAGGAGCUUGCUCCUUUGAAGUUAGCGGCGGACGGGUGAGUAACACGUGGGUAACCUACCUAUAAGACUGGGAUAACUUCGGGAAACCGGAGCUAAUACCGGAUAACAUUUAGAACCGCAUGGUUCUAAAGUGAAAGAUGGUUUUGCUAUCACUUAUAGAUGGACCCGCGCCGUAUUAGCUAGUUGGUAAGGUAACGGCUUACCAAGGCGACGAUACGUAGCCGACCUGAGAGGGUGAUCGGCCACACUGGAACUGAGACACGGUCCCAGACUCCUACGGGAGGCAGCAGUAGGGAAUCUUCCGCAAUGGGCGAAAGCCUGACGGAGCAACGCCGCGUGAGUGAUGAAGGGUUUCGGCUCGUAAAACUCUGUUAUUAGGGAAGAACAAAUGUGUAAGUAACUGUGCACAUCUUGACGGUACCUAAUCAGAAAGCCACGGCUAACUACGUG
RNAcentral lists this ribosomal RNA (518 nucleotides) under uncultured Staphylococcus sp. RNAcentral describes it as "bacterial SSU rRNA". It matches the Rfam family "Bacterial small subunit ribosomal RNA", at positions 8 to 507 of the family's 1533-position model. The record is from RNAcentral. Lineage: Bacteria; Bacillati; Bacillota; Bacilli; Caryophanales; Staphylococcaceae.